Molecule: unclassified non-coding RNA, 380 nt
Filed under: uncultured bacterium
Lineage: Bacteria
Description: contains 16S-23S intergenic spacer region
Source: RNAcentral
UCCGGUUUGUCACCGGCAGUCCCCCAUGAGUCCCCGCCGUGACGCGCUGGCAACUGGGAGCGGGGGUUGCGCUCGUUGCGGGACUUAACCCAACAUCUCACGACACGAGCUGACGACAGCCAUGCAGCACCUGUGCAGGGACUCCGAAGAGGGGUCCUGGUUUCUCAGGACUUUCCCCUGCAUGUCAAGCCCAGGUAAGGUUCUUCGCGUUGCGUCGAAUUAAACCACAUGCUCCACCGCUUGUGCGGGCCCCCGUCAAUUUCUUUGAGUUUUAAUCUUGCGACCGUACUUCCCAGGCGGCAUAUUUAUCGCGUUGGCUACGCCACAAAAGGGGUCGAUUCCUUUUACAGCAAAUAUGCACCGUUUACAGCUAGGACUAC